Phrynosoma platyrhinos (Desert horned lizard) is the source of this 73-nucleotide non-coding RNA. The record is from the annotation of a GenBank genome assembly. Lineage: Eukaryota; Metazoa; Chordata; Lepidosauria; Squamata; Phrynosomatidae.
GCCAGAGUGGUAUAGUGGUUUGAGCGUUGGAUCAGGACACUGGAAGACCAGGGUUCGAAUCCCUGCUUGGCCA